Molecule: ribosomal RNA, 207 nt
Filed under: uncultured bacterium
Lineage: Bacteria
Description: partial 16S ribosomal RNA
Rfam family: Bacterial small subunit ribosomal RNA
Source: RNAcentral
CGUGUAGGCGGCCGAUAAAGUCCGGAGUGAAAGUCCUGCUUUCAAGGUGGGAAUUGCUUUGGAAACUGGUUGGCUUGAGUGCGGAAGAGGUAAGUGGAAUUCCCAGUGUAGCGGUGAAAUGCGUAGAGAUUGGGAGGAACACCAGUGGCGAAGGCGACUUACUGGGCCGUAACUGACGCUGAGGCGCGAAAGCGUGGGGAGCGAACA